Cydia splendana is the source of this 768-nucleotide long non-coding RNA. RefSeq lists it as uncharacterized. The transcript is spliced from 3 exons. The record is from RefSeq and is a predicted model, not a curated record. Lineage: Eukaryota; Metazoa; Arthropoda; Insecta; Lepidoptera; Tortricidae.
CAGUUCGGACUCUAGCAACCCCGUCGUUUGAUCUGUCACCGAUGGCUCGCCACGUCGAGAGCCGUUCUUUUUGGAUUCGGAAGAGAUCGUAGCAAGGCGUGGUUCGUUUCCUUUUCCCAGCGGCCUGGUGCCGUCUGAUGGCUUCUAUAUCGCGGUUUAAGCCGCCUAAUCCUCGUUGGAUGUGAAUCGUCCUGUGCAGUUGAAGCCCCGGGUGCAUUGAAAUUAUGCAAGUCCUUUCCUACGCCCGCUUAUUGUCUGCCCCGGGGUUUCAAGAUUUACCGUCUUUAUUACAAGUGUACGGUGUGGCCUCAAGAUGCCAGCUUCUGCAAGCCGAGCUACCAGUGGCAGGGAGCUGUGCCUGGCGUUUCCAUACUUCCACGUCGAAGUUCCUGGUCAACGUGGCGGUUGUAUUGUUUACGGUCCCUCGAAGUUUUAGAGGUUAGAUCGACCCUUUAUUUUCAUAUUAAUUACUGAACCAGAGAUGCUGGUUCUGGCGCCCUCAUACCCUUUAGUACCGUUUAAAUUCGUCCGUCAGUAGGCCGCUUCUACCAAAACAUUUAAAAAAAGAGUUCGCUAUACCCAUAACUGUUCCCUCAACACUUAAAAAAGAGUCUGGUGCUCAUGUUAUUUAGAUAAGAGCUAGUUUACCUUACGUUCCUGUCAUUACGGCCCUUAAGGCUCUCCGGGUUAAUUUUGAAAUUAUUUAAAUAAAGGUUCUAACCAUAUUGUGUAGUUUCCUUAAUUAAUUAAGAAAAUAUUCCAUAUUAG